GACGAACGCUGGCGGCGUGCCUAACACAUGCAAGUCGAACGAACAGUUCAGGACUUUUCUCCCCUGCCUUCUUCGCCGGUCGGGUGCUUAACACGUGUUCAACCUACCUCCCAGACUGGGGUACUUUCGCGGAACCCUAUCUUCUACCCGACAAUUUAUCGAAUCUCAUUGUUCCAUCGUUAAAUACGGUUUUUCUUUCACUUAAAGCUUCCUCCGCGCCGCAUUAGCCAGUUGGUAAGGUAACGGCUUAACAACGCACCGAUGCGUAGCCGACCUGAGAGGGUGAUCGGACACACUGGAACAGAGACACGGUAGAGACACCGACGGGAGGAAGCAGUAGGGAAUCUUACGCGAUGGGGGAAAGCCUGACGGAGCAACGCCGCGUGAGUGAUGAAGGUGUUAGGAUCGUAAAACUAUGUAAUUAGGGAAGAAGAAAUGUGUAAGUAACUAUGCACGUAAUGACGGUACCUAAUCAGAAAGCCACGGCUAACUACGUG
RNAcentral lists this ribosomal RNA (497 nucleotides) under uncultured bacterium. RNAcentral's name for it is "partial 16S ribosomal RNA". It matches the Rfam family "Bacterial small subunit ribosomal RNA", at positions 28 to 507 of the family's 1533-position model. The record is from RNAcentral.